ACAGGUACAUAUAUAAUGAUAAAAUAAUAAGGGUCCAGCCAAAUGUUAUGGUGUAUAGCUGAUGGCGACAGGAAGGGUAUUUGAGGGGCGUUGAACUUGGGGUUGCAAAUACAAGCAUUCUGCUUGAUCUUCUUUGAGACAACGAAAGAGAAUGGGGGAAAAUAAGUGCUACAGCUUCUCCACUGAGCAGCUACUGAAGUUUUGAGGGGAAAGAGGAGAGCCUAAAUCUAAGUAAAGUUAUACAAAUCAAGACGUGCUCAACAACCCCAAAAAACAGCCAGUAAUUUCCAUUCAUAGUAAUUAGUAAU
This 308-nucleotide long non-coding RNA is filed under the name Nicotiana benthamiana. RNAcentral's name for it is "long non-coding RNA (NBEN_LNC002443)". Lineage: Eukaryota; Viridiplantae; Streptophyta; Magnoliopsida; Solanales; Solanaceae. The record is from RNAcentral.